Molecule: long non-coding RNA, 430 nt
Organism: Episyrphus balteatus (marmalade hoverfly)
Lineage: Eukaryota; Metazoa; Arthropoda; Insecta; Diptera; Syrphidae
Exons: 2
Source: RefSeq, a predicted model, not a curated record
AAAAAAAAAAAAAAAAAACAGAUUUCUGUUUCUUUGUUGACCUUCGAUGAAACGAAAAGUGUUAGACUGGUCCACCUCGAUGGCUUGUUUAAGAGUGGGACGUGGUCAUUAAGUUUCAUAUAGCAUAGCGAUAGUCUAUAUUACAUCUAUAGGGUAGGUAUACUUGAUUUGUAUUUAUUUUACAAUUUGCAACGAAGAUAAAUUAUAGAGACUAUGUUUUUUUGUCAAACUGAUGGGGAGUGUAAAAUGGCAGCUCAACAACUGUAAACAAGCUUCUAAAGGCAAGAAAUUCUUUAUUCAGCUUUAAAGAAAGGUUGGAUGGGAAAAACCAUGUUUAAAUAUGCUGAUUCCUUACUACUUUCCCUCAAUUUUCAAUUUACAUAAUAAUUUGUUCAAAAAAUAAACUUUAAAAAUAUGUUACUAUUCAGAA